CCACGGGAGGCAGCAGUGGGGAAUAUUGCACAAUGGGCGAAAGCCUGAUGCAGCCAUGCCGCGUGUAUGAAGAAGGCCUUCGGGUUGUAAAGUACUUUCAGUUGUGAGGAAGGGGGUGUCGUUAAUAGCGGCAUCUCUUGACGUUAGCAACAGAAGAAGCACCGGCUAACUCCGUGCCAGCAGCCGCGGUAAU
RNAcentral lists this ribosomal RNA (193 nucleotides) under uncultured Gammaproteobacteria bacterium. Its description in RNAcentral is "partial 16S rRNA". It matches the Rfam family "Bacterial small subunit ribosomal RNA", at positions 339 to 524 of the family's 1533-position model. Lineage: Bacteria; Pseudomonadati; Pseudomonadota; Gammaproteobacteria. The record is from RNAcentral.